GGUCCCGCAACCAACGCAAUCUUUGUUAUUAGUUGCUAGCAUUACGUUGGGCACUCAAAGGAGAAUGGCUGGGAUACCUCGGGAGGAAGGUGGGGAUGACCUCACUUCCUCCUGGGGCCCAAUUCCCGGGGUAUACAACUGCUACAAAUGUGGGUACAAUAAGGUGCAAGACCGUGAGGUGGAGCAAAACUUAUAUAGCCUAUCUCAUUUCGGAUUGUAGGCUGCACCUCGCCUACCUGAAG
Molecule: ribosomal RNA, 242 nt
Filed under: uncultured bacterium
Lineage: Bacteria
Description: partial 16S ribosomal RNA
Rfam family: Bacterial small subunit ribosomal RNA
Source: RNAcentral